ACGUAGGAGGCGAGCGUUAUCCGGAUUCACUGGGAUUAAAGGGUGCGUAGGUGGGUGUAUAAGUCAGUGGUGAAAUCCCCGAGCUUAACUUGGGAACUGCCGUUGAUACUAUAUAUCUUGAAUAUCGUAGAGGUAAGCGGAAUAUGUCAUGUAGCGGUGAAAUGCUUAGAGAUGACAUAGAACACCAAUUGCGAAGGCAGCUUGCUAUGCGAUUAUUGACACUGAGGCACGAAAGCGUGGGUAGCAAACAG
This 251-nucleotide ribosomal RNA is filed under the name uncultured prokaryote. RNAcentral describes it as "partial 16S ribosomal RNA". It matches the Rfam family "Bacterial small subunit ribosomal RNA", at positions 525 to 775 of the family's 1533-position model. The record is from RNAcentral.